AUAUCAAUAAGCGGAGGAAAAGAAACCAACAGGGAUUGCCUCAGUAACGGCGAGUGAAGCGGCAAUAGCUCAAAUUUGAAAUCUGGCCUCUGGCCCGAAUUGUAAUUUGUAGAGGAUGCUUCGAGGAUGGUCCAGUCUAAGUUCCUUGGAACAGGACGUCAUAGAGGGUGAGAAUCCCGUAUGCGACUGGGUGCCUAAGCUCAUGUGAAGCUCCUUCGACGAGUCGAGUUGUUUGGGAAUGCAGCUCAAAAUGGGUGGUAAAUUUCAUCUAAAGCUAAAUACUGGCCAGAGACCGAUAGCGCACAAGUAGAGUGAUCGAAAGAUGAAAAGCACUUUGGAAAGAGAGUUAAACAGUACGUGAAAUUGUUGAAAGGGAAGCGCUUGCAACUAGACUUGCAUGCAGUCGAUCAUCCGAUGUUCUCACCGGUGCACUCGAUUGCAUUCAGGCCAGCAUCGGUUUCGGUGGUUAGAUAAAGGCCUUGGGAAUGUAGCUUCUCUCGGGGAGUGUUAUAGCCCAAGGUGCAAUGUAGCCUACCGGGACCGAGGACCGCGCUUCGGCUAGGAUGCUGGCGUAAUGGUUGUAAGCGA
Molecule: ribosomal RNA, 588 nt
Filed under: uncultured fungus
Lineage: Eukaryota; Fungi
Description: eukaryotic LSU rRNA
Rfam family: Eukaryotic large subunit ribosomal RNA
Source: RNAcentral